Molecule: ribosomal RNA, 432 nt
Filed under: uncultured bacterium
Lineage: Bacteria
Description: partial 16S ribosomal RNA
Rfam family: Bacterial small subunit ribosomal RNA
Source: RNAcentral
ACGAACGCUGGCGGCAGGCCUAACACAUGCAAGUCGAGCGGACCUUUCGGGGUCAGCGGCGGACGGGUGAGUCACGCGUGGGAAUAUGCCCUUCUCUACGGAAUAGUCCUGGGAAACUGGGGGUAAUACCGUAUACGCCCUUUGGGGGAAAGAUUUAUCGGGGAAGGAUUAGCCCGCGUUGGAUUAGGUAGUUGGUGGGGUAAUGGCCUACCAAGCCGACGAUCCAUAGCUGGUUUGAGAGGAUGAUCAGCCACACUGGGACUGAGACACGGCCCAGACUCCUACGGGAGGCAGCAGUGGGGAAUCUUAGACAAUGGGGGCAACCCUGAUCUAGCCAUGCCGCGUGAGUGAUGAAGGCCUUAGGGUUGUAAAGCUCUUUCAGCUGGGAAGAUAAUGACGGUACCAGCAGAAGAAGCCCCGGCUAACUCCGUG